RNAcentral lists this ribosomal RNA (253 nucleotides) under uncultured bacterium. RNAcentral's name for it is "partial 16S ribosomal RNA". It matches the Rfam family "Bacterial small subunit ribosomal RNA", at positions 524 to 776 of the family's 1533-position model. The record is from RNAcentral.
UACGUAGGCAGCAAGCGUUGUUCGGAGUUACUGGGCGUAAAGGGUGUGUAGGCGGUUCUUUAAGUUUGCUGUGAAAUCUCCCGGCUUAACCGGGAGGGUGCGGUGAAUACUGAGGGACUAGAGUACGGGAGAGGAAAGUGGAAUUCCCGGUGUAGCGGUGAAAUGCGCAGAUAUCGGGAAGAACACCCGUGGCGAAGGCGGCUCUCUGGGACGGUACUGACGCUGAGACGCGAAAGCGUGGGGAGCGAACAGG